This 277-nucleotide long non-coding RNA is filed under the name Carica papaya (papaya). RNAcentral's name for it is "long non-coding RNA (CPAP_LNC007696)". Lineage: Eukaryota; Viridiplantae; Streptophyta; Magnoliopsida; Brassicales; Caricaceae. The record is from RNAcentral.
GAAUGAGCAACACUAGCCCAGUAAGGACGUCACACUAUAUCACUGUCACAGAAGUAAAUGUUAGUAGAAAAUCAAAAACAACCAAUGAAGUACAAAUUUUAAACAAAUUCAUUUAUCAAUAAUCAAACCAUUUACCGUCCACUUACCUCAGUGAGAUUUAUAAAAAAAAACUACCCAUAGAAACAAUAACAUCAUAGAUAUCAUGAAUUCAUACAUAAUUUAUAACAUAGCACAUGUCAUACUUUUAUAUUUAAAUCAUCAAACAACAGUUGUCCCC